This 30-nucleotide non-coding RNA is filed under the name Mus musculus (house mouse). The record is from RNAcentral. Lineage: Eukaryota; Metazoa; Chordata; Mammalia; Rodentia; Muridae.
UAAGCGUUACACUCUGGAUUCCUGGACAUC